ACGAAGAGGCGGCGUACGGGUCGCGGGAACACGUGUGCAACCUGCCUUUAUCAGGGGGAUAGCCUUUCGAAAGGAAGAUUAAUACCCCAUAAUAUAUUUUACGGCAUCGUGGAAUAUUGAAAACUGAGGUGGAUAGAGAUGGGCACGCGCAAGAUUAGAUAGUUGGUGAGGUAACGGCUCACCAAGUCGACGAUCUUUAGGGGGCCUGAGAGGGUGAUCCCCCACACUGGUACUGAGACACGGACCAGACUCCUACGGGAGGCAGCAGUGAGGAAUAUUGGACAAUGGGUUAGCGCCUGAUCCAGCCAUCCCGCGUGAAGGACGACGGCCCUAUGGGUUGUAAACUUCUUUUGUAUAGGGAUAAACCUACUCUCGUGAGAGUAGCUGAAGGUACUAUACGAAUAAGCACCGGCUAACUCCGUGCCAGCAGCCGCGGUAAUACGGAGGGUGCAAGCGUUAUCCGGAUUUAUUGGGUUUAAAGGGUCCGUAGGCUGAUUUGUAAGUCAGUGGUGAAAUCUCACAGCUUAACUGUGAAACUGCCAUUGAUACUGCAAGUCUUGAGUGUUGUUGAAGUAGCUGGAAUAAGUAGUGUAGCGGUGAAAUGCAUAGAUAUUACUUAGAACACCAAUUGCGAAGGCAGGUUACUAAGCAACAACUGACGCUGAUGGACGAAAGCGUGGGGAGCGAACAGGAUUAGAUACCCUGGUAGUCCACGCCGUAAACGAUGCUAACUCGUUUUUGGGUUUUGGGAUUCAGAGACUAAGCGAAAGUGAUAAGUUAGCCACCUGGGGAGUACGAACGCAAGUUUGAAACUCAAAGGAAUUGACGGGGGCCCGCACAAGCGGUGGAUUUAUGUGGUUUAAUUCGAUGAUACGCGAGGACCUUACCAAGGCUUAAAUGGGAAAUGACAGUUUAGAAAUAGACUUUUCUUC
RNAcentral lists this ribosomal RNA (932 nucleotides) under Chryseobacterium letacus. Its description in RNAcentral is "bacterial SSU rRNA". It matches the Rfam family "Bacterial small subunit ribosomal RNA", at positions 87 to 1019 of the family's 1533-position model. Lineage: Bacteria; Pseudomonadati; Bacteroidota; Flavobacteriia; Flavobacteriales; Weeksellaceae. The record is from RNAcentral.